GUGCCCAGUUAAGAGGGAAGAACAGCCUUUGUCAACUCAGCACAAGUUCAGAGUCCCAAGACGUUUCCCCAGCCUGCAGCUCCACCAUUCCACCUUCAGCCACAGAAAAGCCCUCCAGGCCUACAUCACGGGGAGCACACUCUGGGUUCCAUGGUGCAAGGCCGCCUCUGCCCUCCGCGCCCAGCAGGGAGCCGGCACACAGUGGUACAUGCUGAAUGGACCCACGAAGGAACGGCCAGUGGAGAGAAGUUUCAAGGAGGCAGAUUGUAACUCAAGCCAAGGGAGAGUGUUCUGCCUUUCCUAGUGGACACGCCUGACCAGCUGAUGAUGCUGGAUGCCAGGUCCAGGAAAAUCAGUCCUCUAGCAAGUGCUUCCUCUCACUGGCCAGAACUGCAAACCCACCAUGCUUUCUCUCCUUGCUGUGGCUGCUAGGGAGCUCAGGCUCAAAUUAACUAACAGUGACACUCCCCCUGGCUCCUGAGGUGAUUCUCUUUCCCCUUCCCUCUGGCUUACUUCUGAGCUUUUUCUUCAAUUUCUGUUUAAGUUCUAUGUGUCAGUACGUAUUUUUUUCCAGAAAAAUACACACUGAAUGUCUGUACAGAAUAUGUCUAA
Long non-coding RNA from Manis javanica (Malayan pangolin), 612 nucleotides. RefSeq lists it as uncharacterized. Lineage: Eukaryota; Metazoa; Chordata; Mammalia; Pholidota; Manidae. The record is from RefSeq and is a predicted model, not a curated record.